CAGUCGCCACGGUAAUACGAAGGGGGCUAGCGUUGCUCGGAAUGACUGGGCGUAAAGGGCGCGUAGGCGGCGAUCAAAGUCAGGCGUGAAAUUCCUGGGCUCAACCUGGGGGCUGCGUUUGAUACUUGAUUGCUAGAGUGGGGAAGAGGUCGUGGAAUUCCCAGUGUAGAGGUGAAAUUCGUAGAUAUUGGGAAGAACACCGGUGGCGAAGGCGGCGACCUGGUCCUUGACUGACGCUGAGGCGCGAAAGCGUGGAGAGCAAACAGGAUUAGAUACCCCCGUAGUCCCUGUCUCUUAUACA
Molecule: ribosomal RNA, 301 nt
Filed under: uncultured bacterium
Lineage: Bacteria
Description: partial 16S ribosomal RNA
Rfam family: Bacterial small subunit ribosomal RNA
Source: RNAcentral